This 501-nucleotide ribosomal RNA is filed under the name Vibrio parahaemolyticus. RNAcentral describes it as "bacterial SSU rRNA". It matches the Rfam family "Bacterial small subunit ribosomal RNA", at positions 78 to 578 of the family's 1533-position model. The record is from RNAcentral. Lineage: Bacteria; Pseudomonadati; Pseudomonadota; Gammaproteobacteria; Vibrionales; Vibrionaceae.
GAUAACGGCGUCGAGCGGCGGACGGGUGAGUAAUGCCUAGGAAAUUGCCCUGAUGUGGGGGAUAACCAUUGGAAACGAUGGCUAAUACCGCAUGAUGCCUACGGGCCAAAGAGGGGGACCUUCGGGCCUCUCGCGUCAGGAUAUGCCUAGGUGGGAUUAGCUAGUUGGUGAGGUAAGGGCUCACCAAGGCGACGAUCCCUAGCUGGUCUGAGAGGAUGAUCAGCCACACUGGAACUGAGACACGGUCCAGACUCCUACGGGAGGCAGCAGUGGGGAAUAUUGCACAAUGGGCGCAAGCCUGAUGCAGCCAUGCCGCGUGUGUGAAGAAGGCCUUCGGGUUGUAAAGCACUUUCAGUCGUGAGGAAGGUAGUGUAGUUAAUAGCUGCAUUAUUUGACGUUAGCGACAGAAGAAGCACCGGCUAACUCCGUGCCAGCAGCCGCGGUAAUACGGAGGGUGCGAGCGUUAAUCGGAAUUACUGGGCGUAAAGCGCAUGCAGGUGG